UGGAUGAGGCUAAACCGUAUGCGUGUGAUACCGGGUAGGGGUUGCGUGUGCGGGGUUGCAGGAGCAUAACGGACUGGUUCUACCUUGGCUGGUGCUGUUGUUGGUGUGUGUUAGUGGAAGUGGUGUGGAAUCGCCUGCCAGAGACGGUGAGAGUCCGGUACACGAAAACACAUGUUGAUAGGGUUGUUGUGUUUCCUAAGUAGCGGCG
RNAcentral lists this ribosomal RNA (208 nucleotides) under Prorocentrum minimum. RNAcentral's name for it is "partial Bacterial large subunit ribosomal RNA". It matches the Rfam family "Bacterial large subunit ribosomal RNA", at positions 260 to 420 of the family's 2925-position model. The record is from RNAcentral. Lineage: Eukaryota; Dinophyceae; Prorocentrales; Prorocentraceae.